GCGAACACCUCCAACAGAGCGCUCUAUGACACAGAGUGCCAACGGUAAAGCGCGACAUAGUAUCAGAGUACAAACUUCCCAACCGUGCUACAUCAUGACCGCAGGUCAUGCCAUCUAGAUGGCGAUGAAGGAGCCAGCUAGUCGGUUAAUAAUGAAGUUUAGUCAGAAUCUUAUGAAACGAUUUGCCAAAUCUAAAAAUACUGAUUGUUAUAACAACUUUUUUCUUUCUUAGCAACUUUUGCAAGCAUUCCCACAUCUUGGCAUAGAUUGAAAAUCCGAGGGUACUCGAUUCAAGUUCAAGCAGCCCCCUCACCCAAAAUGAAACCGAUCCUUCUUAGGAGACACCGUUCAGCUUGAAUCCAUCACUGAAAAUGCCUUGCCCAUCUCCUGUGGAAAAUCAAGAAAACGAAACCCCCAAUUGCCGUCGCGCAAAACUUGUUAGAGAGCACGAGAUCAAAUUGGAACAAAUACCAGGCGUCAUAAAUUCCGACAUCUAUAAUGACGAGGCAAAGGACAGUCUGAUACAGCAGCUGCAAACCCUUCCUCUGAGCAUGGUUGAGGUGAAAUGCCAUCCGACAAACUUCCCCCGGAUUGAUAGGAAACGAUCCCAUCAACCACAAAACCGAAGUUUCUUUCCUUCCAAGAAGAAAGGGGUGACCCAAUGGUUUGUGCUUUCCUUGAGAGUUUCUUCCAUCUUUUCUACCAGCUUAUUUUUUUGUUUUAUUUCCUUCGUGGCCUUUUUUCAUCUUAUGUGUUCACUUUAUCAUUUUUUUUAUUUUCUAUGUAAUUAUAGUCCGUAAGUUAUUUUUAGUUUCCAUUGCAAUAUGAAGGAUAGAUUAAAAAUCA
Tigriopus californicus is the source of this 846-nucleotide long non-coding RNA. RefSeq lists it as uncharacterized. Lineage: Eukaryota; Metazoa; Arthropoda; Copepoda; Harpacticoida; Harpacticidae. The transcript has 2 exons. The record is from RefSeq and is a predicted model, not a curated record.